CGGGACGGGUGAGUAAUGUCUGGGAAACUGCCUGAUGGAGGGGGGUAACUACUGGAAACGGUAGCUAAUACCGCAUAACGUCGCAAGACCAAAGAGGGGGGACCUUAGGGCCUCUUGCCAUCGGAUGUGCCCAGAUGGGAUUAGCUAGUAGGUGGGGUAACGGCUCACCUAGGCGACGAUCCCUAGCUGGUCUGAGAGGAUGACCAGCCACACUGGAACUGAGACACGGUCCAG
RNAcentral lists this ribosomal RNA (234 nucleotides) under uncultured bacterium. RNAcentral describes it as "partial 16S ribosomal RNA". It matches the Rfam family "Bacterial small subunit ribosomal RNA", at positions 100 to 334 of the family's 1533-position model. The record is from RNAcentral.